RNAcentral lists this ribosomal RNA (539 nucleotides) under Pseudoalteromonas sp. RNAcentral's name for it is "bacterial SSU rRNA". It matches the Rfam family "Bacterial small subunit ribosomal RNA", at positions 375 to 907 of the family's 1533-position model. Lineage: Bacteria; Pseudomonadati; Pseudomonadota; Gammaproteobacteria; Alteromonadales; Pseudoalteromonadaceae. The record is from RNAcentral.
GCGCAGCCUGAUGCAGCCAUGCCGCGUGUGUGAAGAAGGCCUUCGGGUUGUAAAGCACUUUCAGUCAGGAGGAAAGGUUAGUAGUUAAUACCUGCUAGCUGUGACGUUACUGACAGAAGAAGCACCGGCUAACUCCGUGCCAGCAGCCGCGGUAAUACGGAGGGUGCGAGCGUUAAUCGGAAUUACUGGGCGUAAAGCGUACGCAGGCGGUUUGUUAAGCGAGAUGUGAAAGCCCCGGGCUCAACCUGGGAACUGCAUUUCGAACUGGCAAACUAGAGUGUGAUAGAGGGUGGUAGAAUUUCAGUGUGUAGCGGUGAAAUGCGUAGAGAUCUGAAGGAAUACCGAUGGCGAAGGCAGCCACCUGGGUCAACACUGACGCUCAUGUACGAAAGCGUGGGGAGCAAACAGGAUUAGAUACCCUGGUAGUCCACGCCGUAAACGAUGUCUACUAGAAGCUCGGAGCCUCGGCUCUGUUUUUCAAAGCUAACGCAUUAAGUAGACCGCCUGGGGAGUACGGCCGCAAGGUUAAAACUCAAAUG